RNAcentral lists this ribosomal RNA (407 nucleotides) under uncultured bacterium. Its description in RNAcentral is "partial 16S ribosomal RNA". It matches the Rfam family "Bacterial small subunit ribosomal RNA", at positions 30 to 526 of the family's 1533-position model. The record is from RNAcentral.
AUUGAACGCUGGCGGCAGGCCUAAUACAUGCAAGUCGAGCGGAGCGUCGGACGGGGGAGUAAAGCCUAGGACUCUGCCUGGCUGUGGGGGAUAACGUCCGGUAACGGGCGCUAAUACCGCAUACUGUCAGAUGAGCCUAGGUCGUAUUUGCUAGUUGGUGGGGUAAAGUCCCACCAAGGCGCCGAUCCGAAAAUUGUCUGAGAGGAUGAUCAGUCACACGGGAACUGGGACACUGUCUAAACUCCUACGGGAGGCAGCAGUGGGGAACAUUGGACAAUGGGCGAAAGCCUAAAUCAGCCAUGCCGCGUGUGUGAAGAAGGUCUUCGGAUUGUAAAGCACUUUAAGUUGGGAGGCGUUACCAACAGAAUAAGCACCGGCUAACUUCGUGCCAGCAGCCGCGGUAAUAC